UCAAGUCUGGUAAUAAAAAAAAGG
RNAcentral lists this non-coding RNA (24 nucleotides) under Drosophila melanogaster (fruit fly). Lineage: Eukaryota; Metazoa; Arthropoda; Insecta; Diptera; Drosophilidae. The record is from RNAcentral.